CCCCAGACUCCUACGGGAGGCAGUAGUGGGGAAUAUUGCACAAUGGGGGAAACCCUGAUGCAGCGACGCCGCGUGAGCGAUGAAGUAUUUCGGUAUGUAAAGCCCUAUCGGCAGGGAAGAAGGAGGACGGUACCUGACUAAGAAGCCCCGGCUAACUACGUGCCAGCAGCCGCGGUAAUACGUAGGGGGCAAGCGUUAUCCGGAUUUACUGGGUGUAAAGGGGGCGCAGACGGCAGCGCAAGCCAGGAGUGAAAACCCGGGGCCCAACCCCGGGACUGCUCUUGGAACUGCGCGGCUGGAGUGCAGGAGGGGCAGGCGGAAUUCCUGGUGUAGCGGUGAAAUGCGUAGAUAUCAGGAGGAACACCGGUGGCGAAGGCGGCCUGCUGGACUGCGACUGACGUUGAGGCCCGAAAGCGUGGGGAGCAAACAGGAUUAGAUACCCGGGUAUU
Molecule: ribosomal RNA, 449 nt
Filed under: uncultured bacterium
Lineage: Bacteria
Description: bacterial SSU rRNA
Rfam family: Bacterial small subunit ribosomal RNA
Source: RNAcentral